UACAGAGGGUGCGAGCGUUAAUCGGAAUUACUGGGCGUAAAGCGCACGUAGGUGGCUUUGCAAGUCGAUUGUGAAAUCCCCGGGCUUAACCUGGGAAUGGCAUUGGAAACUGGCUUGCUAGAGUGUGGCAGAGGGGGGUGGAAUUCCGCGUGUAGCAGUGAAAUGCGUAGAGAUGUGGAGGAACACCAGUGGCGAAGGCGACUUUCUGGUCUGUAACUGACGCUGAGGCGCGAAAGCGUGGGGAGCAAACAGG
This 253-nucleotide ribosomal RNA is filed under the name uncultured bacterium. RNAcentral describes it as "partial 16S ribosomal RNA". It matches the Rfam family "Bacterial small subunit ribosomal RNA", at positions 524 to 776 of the family's 1533-position model. The record is from RNAcentral.